GGGUGAGGAAUGCAUCGGAAUCUACCCUGUCGUGGGGGAUAACGUAGGGAAACUUACGCUAAUACCGCAUACGACCGAGAGGUGAAAGUGGGGGACCGCAAGGCCUCACGCGAUUGGAUGAGCCGAUGCCGGAUUAGCUAGUUGGUGGGGUAAAGGCCCACCAAGGCGACGAUCCGUAGCUGGUCUGAGAGGAUGAUCAGCCACACUGGGACUGAGACACGGCCCAGACUCCUACGGGAGGCAGCAGUGGGGAAUAUUGGACAAUGGGCGCAAGCCUGAUCCAGCCAUGCCGCGUGUGUGAAGAAGGCCUUCGGGUUGUAAAGCACUUUCGUUCGGGAAGAAAUCGUGCGGAUUAAUACUUCGUACGGAUGACGGUACCGAAAGAAUAAGCACCGGCUAACUUCGUGCCAGCAGCCGCGGUAAUACGAAGGGUGCAAGCGUUACUCGGAAUCACUGGGCGUAAAGCGUGCGUAGGCGGUUCGUUAAGUCUGCUGUGAAAGCCCUGGGCUCAACCUGGGAACUGCAGUGGAU
RNAcentral lists this ribosomal RNA (531 nucleotides) under uncultured Stenotrophomonas sp. RNAcentral describes it as "bacterial SSU rRNA". It matches the Rfam family "Bacterial small subunit ribosomal RNA", at positions 104 to 631 of the family's 1533-position model. The record is from RNAcentral. Lineage: Bacteria; Pseudomonadati; Pseudomonadota; Gammaproteobacteria; Lysobacterales; Lysobacteraceae.